GGGUUGUGAGGUUAAGCGACUAAGCGUACACGGUGGAUGCCCUGGCAGUCAGAGGCGAUGAAGGACGUGCUAAUCUGCGAUAAGCGCCGGUAAGGUGAUAUGAACCGUUAUAACCGGCGAUUUCCGAAUGGGGAAACCCAGUGUGACUCGUCACACUAUCAUUAACUGAAUCCAUAGGUUAAUGAGGCGAACCGGGGGAACUGAAACAUCUAAGUACCCCGAGGAAAAGAAAUCAACC
This 238-nucleotide ribosomal RNA is filed under the name Salmonella enterica subsp. enterica serovar Oranienburg. Its description in RNAcentral is "partial 23S ribosomal RNA". It matches the Rfam family "Bacterial large subunit ribosomal RNA", at positions 1 to 230 of the family's 2925-position model. The record is from RNAcentral. Lineage: Bacteria; Pseudomonadati; Pseudomonadota; Gammaproteobacteria; Enterobacterales; Enterobacteriaceae. RNAcentral also lists the same sequence under 1 other name.